UGACCCUAGGUCAGGAGGGACUACCCACUAAGUUUAAGUAUAUCAAUAAGUGAAGAAAAAGAAAAUUAUAAGGAUUCCCUUAGUAACGGCGAGCGAAUCGGGAAUAGCCUAGGUUGAGAAUCGGGUGCCCUUAGUGUUUGAAUUGUAGUCUAAAGAAGCGUCCUCAACAGUAUACUGGGCCAAAGUCCCCUGGAAAAGGGCACCGAAGAGGCUGAGAGUCCCUCAUGCCUAGACCUUGUUGUACCACGAUGCGCUAUCGGCGAGUCAGAUUGUUUGGGAAUGUAGCUCUAGUCGGGCAAUAAAUUUCGUCUAAGGCUAAAUACUGGCAAGAGAUCGAUAGUAAACAAGUACCGUGAAGGAAAGAUAAAAAGGACUUUGAAACAAGAGUCAAAGAGUGUUUGAAAUUAUCAAGAAGGAAGUGGAUGGGGAUCCGCAAUGCACCUUGGUCAGAUGUUGAAUGGUAAGAGCAAGGCCACCGAUCUACUCAAGGUGCAAACUGAUGCAGAUUAAAGGUUCGGCCCAAGCCUGAGCUAUCGAUAUGCCUGUGGAGAUGUCGUCCCCCUGAUUGUGGAACCCAUCAUGUGUUGUCUCAGCGUUCUUCGACAUCUGCAUGCUCUGGGCAUCGACUUAUGUGAUCCCCAUUCAGCCUGUCUUGAAACAUAGAUCAAGGAAUCUAACAUGUGUGCGAGUCAACCCGCUAGAAAACCCAUAAGGCGCAAGGAAGUUGACUAGCAUGAUCCCCUUCUGGGUUGCACUACUAACUGACCCUGAUCUUUUGAAACGGCUUUGAGUGAGAGCAUGUAUGUCAGGACCCUAAAGAUGGUGAAAUAUGCCUGAGUAGAGCGAAGUUAGAGAUAACUCUGGUAGAGGCCCACAACGAUAGUGAUAUGCAAAUCAUUCAUCUGACAUUGGGUAUAGGGGCGAAAGACUAAUCAAACCGUCUAGUAGCUAGUUCCCUUUCUCUCAAGAUAGCUGGAGCUUGCAGACAAGUUCUAUCAAGUAAAGCCAAUGACUAGAGACAUCAGAGACAUAAUUCCCUUGACCUAUUCUCAAACUUUAAAUAGGUAGGAUAGAGCGAUUGCCUUGUUGAGUCAUGUCAUAGAAUCGAGAGCUCCAAGUAGGCCAUUUUGGUAAGUAGAACUAGCGAAUGCAGGAUAAACUGGAAGCCAGGAUACGGCACCCAACCGCGUGCUAAACUUGAACCCACAAAGGGUGUUGGUCGAUUAAGACAAUAGGACAAUGGUCAUAGAAGUCAAAAUCUGCUAAGAAGUAUGUAACAACUCAUUUGUCAAAUCAGCUUGCCCUAAAAAUAGAUGGCACUUAAGCACACGACCUACACUAGGUCGUCGAGGCAAGUGCCAGGUCCUAAAAAGUUGGAAGGCAUAGCAGUCGCUGCAAAAUCUAGGGCACGAGCUCAAACAGAGUGAUUGUUAGCAUAGAUCUUGGUGGUAGUAGCAAAUAUUUAAAUGAGAACUUUGAAGGCCAAAGAAGGGAAAGGUUCCAUAUGAACAACACUUGCAUAUGGGUUAGUUGAUCCUAAGAGACAGGAGAAGCCCGUUUAAUAUUGUUGUGAGUGCGAACUUCAAAAGGGAAUCAAGUUAAUACUCCUAAACUGGCACAUGGUAGCUAACAAAAAUGUCAGGGAGUCCAGAGACAUCAGCAGAAGCCUUGGGAAGAGUUAUCUUUUCUAUAUUAUAGCUUGCCCAUCCUAGAAAUGGCUCAGCUAGAGAUAGGGUCCAGUGGCUAGAAGAGCAUCGCAUGACAUGUUGUGUUCGGUGUGCCUCUGGCGGCCCUUCAAAAUCUGGAGGAUCAAGUGUCUCCCAUGCCCGGUCAUACUCAUAACUGCAUUGGGUCUCCAAGGUGAACAACCUCUGGUCAAUGGAAUAAUAUAGGAAAGGGAAAUUGGCAAAAUGGAUCCGUAACUUUGGGAAAAGAAUUGGCUUUAAGGGCUGGUAUGAGGGUCCCAGUUCUGAAUCUAUCGGCUGUCGGUGGACUGCUCGAGCUGCUCCCUCGACAAGAGUGGGUCAUCACGUUCCGGCUGGGGGAUGGAUUGGAAACGACUACUCUAGAGGCCUUCCUCGAGCAUCGAACAAUUGACUCAAAACUGGUACGGACAAGGGGAAUCCGACUAUUUUAUUAAAACAAAGUAUUGUGAUGGUCCUUGAGGAUGCUUAUGCAAUGCGAUUUUUGCUCAGUACCCUGAAUGUCAAAGUGAAAAAAUUUGACCAAGUGCAAGUAAAUGAUAGGAGUAACUAUGACUUUCUUAAGAUAGCCAAAUGCCUCAUCAUCUAAUUAGUGACACGUAUGAAUGGAUUAACGAGAUUCCUACUAUCUCUAUCUACUAUCUAGUGAAACCAUAGCUAGGGGAAUAGGUUUAGCAGAAUUGACAUGGAAAAAAGACCCUGUUGAGCUUGACGUUAGUCCGACUUUUUGAAAUGGCUUGAGAGGUGUAGUAUAAGUGGGAGCCAAAAAUGGCAAAAGUGAAAUUCAACUACUUUUAACAUUAUUUUACUUAUUCCGUGAAUCAGAUGUAGGGCAUUGCCCCUCGUUUUGGACCCAAGGCCCACUUUGGCGGGCUAAUCUGAGCAGAAGACAUUGUUAGGUGGGGUGUUUGGCUAGGAUGGAAUAUCUAUUAAAAGAUAACUCAAGUGUUCUAAGAUGAACUCAGCAAGAACAAAAAUCUCGUGUGGAACUAAAGGGUAAAAGCUCAUUUGAUUUUGAUUUCCAGUAUGAAUACAAACUGUGAAAGCAUGAUCUAUCGAUCCUUUAGAUCUUCGAAAUUUGAAGCUAAAGGUGUCAGAAAAAGUUACCAUAGGGAUAACUGGCAUGCGACAACCAAGUGUUCAUAGUAAUGUUGCUUUUGGAUCCUUCGAUGUCAGCUCUUCUUGUCAUUAUGAAGUAGAAUCCACCAAGUAUUGGAUUGUUCACCUACCAAUAGUUAACAUGAGCUGGGUUUAGACCUUCAUGAGAUAGGUUGGUUUUACCCUGCUGAUGAUAGUGUCACAAUAGUAAUUCAAUCUAGCACAAGAAAAAUCAUUGAUUCGCACAAUUAGUCAUCGUGCUUGGUUGAAAAACUAGUGGUGUGAAGUUACCGUGUGCUGAAUUAUGAUUGAACGCCUCUAAAUUAGAAUCUAGGAUAGUUUCGACGCAUGUGAUCGCUAUACAUUCAUCAACCAACAGUUGGGGCUUGUCCCUAAAGGCACAUAAUGUUAGUGAAGCCCGCAUGAUGAACGAGCCAUAUAGGAUGCCUUCAAGUACAAUUCCUACCGAGCAGU
Molecule: ribosomal RNA, 3275 nt
Filed under: Trema andersonii
Lineage: Eukaryota; Viridiplantae; Streptophyta; Magnoliopsida; Rosales; Cannabaceae
Description: Parasponia andersonii eukaryotic LSU rRNA
Rfam family: Eukaryotic large subunit ribosomal RNA
Source: RNAcentral